Molecule: ribosomal RNA, 525 nt
Filed under: Clostridioides difficile
Lineage: Bacteria; Bacillati; Bacillota; Clostridia; Peptostreptococcales; Peptostreptococcaceae
Description: bacterial SSU rRNA
Rfam family: Bacterial small subunit ribosomal RNA
Source: RNAcentral
UUUUAUUUGAGAGUUUGAUCCUGGCUCAGGAUGAACGCUGGCGGCGUGCCUAACACAUGCAAGUUGAGCGAUUUACUUCGGUAAAGAGCGGCGGACGGGUGAGUAACGCGUGGGUAACCUACCCUGUACACACGGAUAACAUACCGAAAGGUAUGCUAAUACGGGAUAAUAUAUUUGAGAGGCAUCUCUUAAAUAUCAAAGGUGAGCCAGUACAGGAUGGACCCGCGUCUGAUUAGUUAGUUGGUAAGGUAACGGCUUACCAAGGCGACGAUCAGUAGCCGACCUGGGAGGGUGAUCGGCCACAUUGGAACUGAGACACGGUCCAAACUCCUACGGGAGGCAGCAGUGGGGAAUAUUGCACAAUGGGCGAAAGCCUGAUGCAGCAACGCCGCGUGAGUGAUGAAGGCCUUCGGGUCGUAAAACUCUGUCCUCAAGGAAGAUAAUGACGGUACUUGAGGAGGAAGCCCCGGCUAACUACGUGCCAGCAGCCGCGGUAAUACGUAGGGGGCUAGCGUUAUCCGGAUU